CUACAGGCUUAACACAUGCAAGUCGAGGGGCAGCAUGGUCUUAGCUUGCUAAGGCCGAUGGCGACCGGCGCACGGGUGAGUAACACGUAUCCAACCUGCCGUCUACUCUUGGACAGCCUUCUGAAAGGAAGAUUAAUACAAGAUGGCAUCAUGAGUCCGCAUGUUCACAUGAUUAAAGGUAUUCCGGUAGACGAUGGGGAUGCGUUCCAUUAGAUAGUAGGCGGGGUAACGGCCCACCUAGUCUUCGAUGGAUAGGGGUUCUGAGAGGAAGGUCCCCCACAUUGGAACCGAGACACGGUCCAAACUCCUACGGGAGGCAGCAGUGAGGAAUAUUGGUCAAUGGGCGAGAGCCUGAACCAGCCAAGUAGCGUGAAGGAUGACUGCCCUAUGGGUUGUAAACUUCUUUUAUAAAGGAAUAAAGUCGGGUAUGGAUACCCGUUUGCAUGUACUUUAUGAAUAAGGAUCGGCUAACUCCGUGCCAGCAGCCGCGGUAAUACGGAGGAUCCGAGCGUUAUCCGGAUUUAUUGGGUUUAAAGGGAGCGUAGAUGGAUGUUUAAGUCAGUUGUGAAAGUUUGCGGCUCAACCGUAAAAUUGCAGUUGAUACUGGAUAUCUUGAGUGCAGUUGAGGCAGGCGGAAUUCGUGGUGUAGCGGUGAAAUGCUUAGAUAUCACGAAGAACUCCGAUUGCGAAGGCAGCCUGCUAAGCUGCAACUGACAUUGAGGCUCGAAAGUGUGGGUAUCAAACAGGAUUAGAUACCCUGGUAGUCCACACGGUAAACGAUGAAUACUCGCUGUUUGCGAUAUACUGCAAGCGGCCAAGCGAAAGCGUUAAGUAUUCCACCUGGGGAGUACGCCGGCAACGGUGAAACUCAAAGGAAUUGACGGGGGCCCGCACAAGCGGAGGAACAUGUGGUUUAAUUCGAUGAUACGCGAGGAACCUUACCCGGGCUUAAAUUGCAGAUGAAUUACGGUGAAAGCCGUAAGCCGCAAGGCAUCUGUGAAGGUGCUGCAUGGUUGUCGUCAGCUCGUGCCGUGAGGUGUCGGCUUAAGUGUCAUAACGAGCGCAACCCUUGUUGUCAGUUACUAACAGGUUCCGCUGAGGACUCUGACAAGACUGCCAUCGUAAGAUGUGAGGAAGGUGGGGAUGACGUCAAAUCAGCACGGCCCUUACGUCCGGGGCUACACACGUGUUACAAUGGGGGGUACAGAGGGCCGCUACCACGCGAGUGGAUGCCAAUCCCCAAAACCUCUCUCAGUUCGGACUGGAGUCUGCAACCCGACUCCACGAAGCUGGAUUCGCUAGUAAUCGCGCAUCAGCCACGGCGCGGUGAAUACGUUCCCGGGCCUUGUACACACCGCCCGUCAAGCCAUGGGAGCCGGGGGUACCUGAAGUGCGUAACCGCGAGGAGCGCCCUAGGGUAAAACUGGUGACUGGGGCUAAGUCAUAACA
This 1449-nucleotide ribosomal RNA is filed under the name uncultured organism. RNAcentral describes it as "SSU rRNA". It matches the Rfam family "Bacterial small subunit ribosomal RNA". The record is from RNAcentral.